UGCAAAUCAAAGUAACUCUGAAAUUCCAU
RNAcentral lists this non-coding RNA (29 nucleotides) under Mus musculus (house mouse). The record is from RNAcentral. Lineage: Eukaryota; Metazoa; Chordata; Mammalia; Rodentia; Muridae.